GUGCGAGAUGAGUAUUCUGAGGCGCGCGAGAUAACUUUCGUUAAGGAACUCGGCAAAUUAUCCCCGUAACUUCGGAAGAAGGGGAGCCUCUUAGGGUGAUUGCCUUUACGGCAUGAGCUCCGGGGGGCCGCAGAGAAAUGGCCCAGGCGACUGUUUAACAAAAACACAGCACUAUGCAAACCUCUAAGGGGAAGUAUAUGGUGUGACGCCUGCCCAAUGCCAAAAGGUUAAAGGGAUAUGUCAGCCGCAAGGCAAAGCAUUGAACCCAAGCCCUGGUGAAUGGCCGCCGUAACUAUAACGGUGCUAAGGUAGCGAAAUUCCUUGUCGGGUAAGUUCCGACCUGCACGAAUGGUGUAACGAUCUGGGCACUGUCUCAACGAAAGACUCGGUGAAAUUGUAGUAGCAGUGAAGAUGCUGUUUACCCGCAAAAGGACGAAAAGACCCCGUGAACCUUUACUGUACUUUGGUAUUGAUUCUUGAUUUGUUAUGUGUAGCAUAGCCAGGAGACUGAGAACACUCUUCGUCAGGAGAGUGGGAGUCAUCGUUGAAAUACUGGUCUUAACAAGUUGGGAAUCUAACAUAAUUCCAUGAAUCUGGAAUAUGGACAUUGCCAGACGGGCAGUUUUACUGGGGCGGUAUCCUCCUAAAAAGUAACGGAGGAGCCCAAAGCUUAUUUCAUCGUGGUUGGCAAUCACGAGUAGAGCGUAAAGGUAUAAAAUAGGUUGACUGCAAGACCUACAAGUCAAGCAGAGACGAAAGUCGGGCUUAGUGAUCCGGCGGUGGAAAGUGGAAUCGCCGUCGCUUAACGGAUAAAAGGUACUCCGGGGAUAACAGGCUGAUCGCCACCAAGAGUUCAUAUCGACGUGGCGGUUUGGCACCUCGAUGUCGGCUCAUCGCAUCCUGGGGCUGGAGAAGGUCCCAAGGGUUUGGCUGUUCGCCAAUUAAAGCGGUACGCGAGCUGGGUUCAAAACGUCGUGAGACAGUUUGGUCUCUAUCCUUUGUGGGCGCAGGAUACUUGAAAGGAGCUGUUCCUAGUACGAGAGGACCGGAAUGGACGAACCAAUGGUGUGUCGGUUGUUUUGCCAAAAGCAUAGCCGAGUAGCUACGUUCGGAAAGGAUAAGCAUUGAAAGCAUCUAAAUGCCAAGCCUCCCUUAAGAUAAGGUAUCCCUAUGAGACUCCAUAUAGACUAUGUGGUUGAUAGGUUGGGUGUGUACGCACAGUAAUGUGUUUAGCUAACCAAUACUAAUAAGUCCAUUGACUUGGUUU
RNAcentral lists this ribosomal RNA (1267 nucleotides) under Chlamydia psittaci 06-1683. Its description in RNAcentral is "bacterial LSU rRNA". It matches the Rfam family "Bacterial large subunit ribosomal RNA", at positions 1665 to 2925 of the family's 2925-position model. The record is from RNAcentral. Lineage: Bacteria; Pseudomonadati; Chlamydiota; Chlamydiia; Chlamydiales; Chlamydiaceae.